This 63-nucleotide transfer RNA is filed under the name Odontotermes javanicus. Its description in RNAcentral is "tRNA-His". RNAcentral also lists the same sequence under 1 other name. Lineage: Eukaryota; Metazoa; Arthropoda; Insecta; Blattodea; Termitidae. The record is from RNAcentral.
AUCUAAAUAGUUUAAGUAAAAUAUUGGUUUGUGGUGCCGAUGAUAUGAGUUUUGUUUUAGAUU